This 374-nucleotide ribosomal RNA is filed under the name uncultured bacterium. Its description in RNAcentral is "bacterial SSU rRNA". It matches the Rfam family "Bacterial small subunit ribosomal RNA", at positions 975 to 1353 of the family's 1533-position model. The record is from RNAcentral.
CAGGUCUUGACAUCCGACUAACGAGAUAGAGAUAUGUCAGGUGCCCUUCGGGGAAAGUCGAGACAGGUGGUGCAUGGUUGUCGUCAGCUCGUGUCGUGAGAUGUUGGGUUAAGUCCCGCAACGAGCGCAACCCCUGCCAUUAGUUGCUACGCAAGAGCACUCUAAUGGGACCGCUACCGACAAGGUGGAGGAAGGUGGGGACGACGUCAAAUCAUCAUGCCCCUUAUGACCUGGGCUACACACGUAAUACAAUGGUCAUUAACAGAGGGAAGCAAAGCCGCGAGGCAGAGCAAAUCCCCAAAAAUGAUCUCAGUUCGGAUCGUAGGCUGCAACCCGCCUGCAUGAAGCUGGAAUGCUAGUAAUCGCAGAUCAGG